Molecule: ribosomal RNA, 253 nt
Filed under: uncultured Allobaculum sp.
Lineage: Bacteria; Bacillati; Bacillota; Erysipelotrichia; Erysipelotrichales; Erysipelotrichaceae
Description: partial 16S ribosomal RNA
Rfam family: Bacterial small subunit ribosomal RNA
Source: RNAcentral
UACGGGGGGUGCAAGCGUUGUCCGGAAUCAUUGGGCGUAAAGGGUGCGCAGGCGAUCCUGCAAGUCUGGAGUGAAACGUAUGAGCUCAACUCAUGCAUGGCUCUGGAAACUGGAGGACUGGAGAGCAGGAGAGGGCGGUGGAACUCCAUGUGUAGCGGUAAAAUGCGUAGAUAUAUGGAAGAACACCAGUGGCGAAGGCGGCCGCCUGGCCUGUUGCUGACGCUGAGGUUCGAAAGCGUGGGUAGCAAACAGG